Non-coding RNA from Sodalis glossinidius str. 'morsitans', 172 nucleotides. The record is from Rfam. Lineage: Bacteria; Pseudomonadati; Pseudomonadota; Gammaproteobacteria; Enterobacterales; Bruguierivoracaceae.
GUGAGGGUGACUGAUCGUGGGAAGGAAGCGUGGAGCAUAAAUCGCGAGCCGAUGAACAAGAACCGCAUAGAAGGCGUUGCCAAGUAGGGCGAGCGGGCCAGAAACCGCGAAGCUCUGGUGAUCAAGGCGAGGUGGCGUAGAUGCGGCGGUUGUGCGAUGAAGGAGUACGUUC